UUAACAGGGGUAUGAGGGCUCGAAAAGAAAAUGUUUGUUGGUUGAUCACAUGAUGACAAGAAAAUUGAAAGCAAUUUUUCUUCAAGAAAAAGAAAGCAAGAAUGAGGUGACAGUUGAAAGUUAAGUUCAUUGAUCACUGAUCGGGCUGUUUUGAGGUUGAAGUAGAAAAAAUGAUGUCAAUAAAUUCCCCAAUUCCGGCAGAUUUAAUGGCACCAGAUUAUAAUGGAAGCAUUUUGCCUGCUUCUGGAGAGUCUUCAAUCACAUCAUCAAUAGAUUCAAAUGAUAGCUUUGUCUCAGAUGAUGAGCCAUUAAAUGAAAGGACCCCAUUGGUCCGUGCUCAUAGCACUAUCAGUGAAGGAGGAGAGAGAAGAGGAACUAUUUUUUCAUCUGUAUUUACUCUUGUUUCAACUAUGAUUGGCGGUGGACUCUUAUCACUGCCAUUUGCAUUUGAACAAGGAGGAUUUAUAGUGUCAUCUUUUGUUUUGAUUUUUGUACUAAUCGCAUCAACACAUGGUGGAUUUUUGGUUAUAAAUAGCAAGAAAUAUUGUCAUGGAAAAAUAAGAAAUAUUGAAGAUGUAGCCAGAGUUGCAUUUGGAGCUAAGGGGCAGGUAAUCUAUUUAAUGUCUUACAUCUGUUUAAAAGUUUGAUUCUCAGCUCUACCAAUGCAAGAUACGGUCAAAGGCUCAAAGGCAUUGCUACAAUAAACUGCUGAUGUUUCAUAGAGUGCACUUUGAAUGCAAAGAUUGGCACCUGCAAAGGUCACAAUUCAAACACAGGGGCUAAGCUGAAGUUGGGCAGGGAACCAUUUACCCUGCACAUAUCAGUUAGAUGUUGGUCCAAGUAACUUUGUUUUUCAUUUUGUAUUUGGUGUCUGCUGUCUAUUUCAUUCUCAUUUCUGACCAAGUAAGUAAUGAGAUGAAAUUUGUUUUUCUGUUUCAGUUAAGAUUCAGAUUUAGAUUCUAUUCAUCUUUUCAUUGCCUGUCAAAUAUGUCAAUCAUUCUCCUUUUUAAUCUUAUUGAUGAUAGUCAAAACGCAUGCAAAAUAUUUUUGUUGGAAGUUUUUUCAGAAAGCAAGAAAUGAAAGGCUAUUUACCAAGAUGUGAUCAACUAACAUACUAUGCUUGUUCAUGUGAAAGAAAUAGAGAAAUCACCCUUUAGUUUUAGAAAUCACCCAUAACCUUUUCUGCACCAACUCAUCAUGAAAUGAGAAAAUAAAAACACUAGCUCAUCAAUUUUGAC
This is a non-coding RNA of Rhopilema esculentum, 1238 nucleotides long. The record is from RefSeq and is a predicted model, not a curated record. NCBI's taxonomy places the organism in Eukaryota, Metazoa, Cnidaria, Scyphozoa, Rhizostomeae, Rhizostomatidae.